GCUAGGAUCCGAUCUCCUUCCCGGAGACCCUGGCGCUGGGCAGAGGAGCCUGGAUCCACCCUGCACACCACAUGGUCAGCCUUGCCGAGCUGCUGCUGCAGAUGGAACCCAAAACUCUUUUCCUCCUCCUUGCUCAACAGACAGAAGCGAGGCCGGUGCAGGUUCCAGGGAUCUGGAGGAGGAGACUACUUACAGAGUUAACAAGGCCGUGUCCCGAAGAUCUGCCAGACGAAGGAAGGUGAGAACAAUGGAUCUCCAAGAAUUGCAAUUACUCUAGGAAUCUUAAACUGGGGAAGAGAAGAGGAAGCCUGGAUGCCAGCCAGAACUUGUCCCCCAAAAAGAGGUUUUGGACAACUUUUCAGACCACUAAGCUGGAUGGACUGCAACAGUCACCGAGUCCCAAUGAGACUGCUCAGUACACUAAAUCCCAGGGGCGGACCCUGAAGAUGAGCUUUGGGGUUGACACCGUCACCAGACCCAUUUAUCUGUUCCUCUUCCCAGGGUAGCCACCUCAAACAAAUCUCCUUUCUCUGCUU
RNAcentral lists this long non-coding RNA (536 nucleotides) under Rattus norvegicus (Norway rat). RNAcentral describes it as "long non-coding RNA NONRATT027618". The record is from RNAcentral. Lineage: Eukaryota; Metazoa; Chordata; Mammalia; Rodentia; Muridae.